ACUUAGAUUCUUAAUGUUCCAAAGGAAGCGGCAGAGAAUCUACUGCACCUCACACACAAUCUCCGCAAGACAAACGACCCCACGGCACAGUCUCUGGCCUCUUCUCUCUCCACCAGACAGCUGUUGAGGAUCUGUCGCCGUCUCUCUCAGUACCCUGAGGAGAGCAUCGCCCACACUGUCAAAAAGGCUUGUCUUUCCAGGUUCCUGCCCAGCCUGGCCCGUGCUUCUCUUGAAAAAAGUCUUGCUAACAGCUCCAUACAGGAUAAACCAGAUCCUGCUGAAAACACUUGUGACUUCAGCUGUAAGUUCCAGUCAGCUACCUAGA
Morone saxatilis (striped sea-bass) is the source of this 325-nucleotide long non-coding RNA. RefSeq lists it as uncharacterized. The transcript is spliced from 3 exons. Lineage: Eukaryota; Metazoa; Chordata; Actinopteri; Moronidae. The record is from RefSeq and is a predicted model, not a curated record.